This 253-nucleotide ribosomal RNA is filed under the name uncultured bacterium. RNAcentral's name for it is "partial 16S ribosomal RNA". It matches the Rfam family "Bacterial small subunit ribosomal RNA", at positions 524 to 776 of the family's 1533-position model. The record is from RNAcentral.
UACGUAGGGGGCGAGCGUUGUCCGGAAUCAUUGGGCGUAAAGAGCGUGUAGGCGGCUUGGCAAGUCUGACGUGAAAGCCCGCGGCUCAACCGCGGAUUGUCGUUGGAAACUGCCUCGCUAGAGUCCGGAAGAGGAGAGCGGAAUUCCUGGUGUAGCGGUGGAAUGCGCAGAUAUCAGGAAGAACACCCGUGGCGAAGGCGGCUCUCUGGGACGGUACUGACGCUGAGACGCGAAGGCGUGGGGAGCGAACAGG